GGCUUUUGUUGGGUUGGAUGAGUGGCGAACGGGUGAGUAACACGUGAGUGACCUGCCCUCUUCUUUGGGAUAACGCCCGGAAACGGGUGCUAAUACUGGAUAUUCACUGGCCUUCGCAUGGGGGUUGGUGGAAAGGUUUGUUCUGGUGGGGGAUGGGCUCGCGGCCUAUCAGCUUGUUGGUGGGGUGAUGGCCUACCAAGGCUUUGACGGGUAGCCGGCCUGAGAGGGUGACCGGUCACAUUGGGACUGAGAUACGGCCCAGACUCCUACGGGAGGCAGCAGUGGGGAAUAUUGCACAAUGGGCGAAAGCCUGAUGCAGCGACGCCGCGUGAGGGAUGGAGGCCUUCGGGUUGUAAACCUCUUUCGCUCAUGGUCAAGCCGCAACUGUGGGUUGUGGUGAGGGUAGUGGGUAAAGAAGCGCCGGCUAACUACGUGCCAGCAGCCGCGGUAAUACGUAGGGCGCGAGCGCUGUCCGGAAUUAUUGGGCGUAAAGGGCUUGUAGGCGGUUGGUCGCGUCUGCCGUGAAAUCCUCUGGCUUAACUGGGGGCGUGCGGUGGGUACGGGCUGACUUGAGUGCGGUAGGGGAGACUGGAACUCCUGGUGUAGCGGUGGAAUGCGCAGAUAUCAGGAAGAACACCGGUGGCGAAGGC
RNAcentral lists this ribosomal RNA (650 nucleotides) under uncultured Bacilli bacterium. RNAcentral's name for it is "bacterial SSU rRNA". It matches the Rfam family "Bacterial small subunit ribosomal RNA", at positions 76 to 722 of the family's 1533-position model. Lineage: Bacteria; Bacillati; Bacillota; Bacilli. The record is from RNAcentral.